Molecule: transfer RNA, 67 nt
Filed under: Cerithidea tonkiniana
Lineage: Eukaryota; Metazoa; Mollusca; Gastropoda; Potamididae
Description: tRNA-Tyr
Source: RNAcentral
UCUCUGAUGGCCGAGAUCACAGGCGAUAGACUGUAGAUCUACUCACGGGACUAACUCUCUCAGAGAA